ACCUGCGGAAGGAUCAUUACCGAGUGAGGGCCCUCUGGGUCCAACCUCCCACCCGUGUUUAUUUUACCUUGUUGCUUCGGCGGGCCCGCCUUAACUGGCCGCCGGGGGGCUUACGCCCCCGGGCCCGCGCCCGCCGAAGACACCCUCGAACUCUGUCUGAAGAUUGUAGUCUGAGUGAAAAUAUAAAUUAUUUAAAACUUUCAACAACGGAUCUCUUGGUUCCGGCAUCGAUGAAGAACGCAGCGAAAUGCGAUACGUAAUGUGAAUUGCAAAUUCAGUGAAUCAUCGAGUCUUUGAACGCACAUUGCGCCCCCUGGUAUUCCGGGGGGCAUGCCUGUCCGAGCGUCAUUGCUGCCCUCAAGCACGGCUUGUGUGUUGGGCCCCGUCCUCCGAUCCCGGGGGACGGGCCCGAAAGGCAGCGGCGGCACCGCGUCCGGUCCUCGAGCGUAUGGGGCUUUGUCACCCGCUCUGUAGGCCCGGCCGGCGCUUGCCGAUCAACCCGAAUUUUUAUCCAGGUUGACCUCGGAUCAGGUAGGGAUACCCGCUGAACUUAAGCAUAUCAA
RNAcentral lists this ribosomal RNA (563 nucleotides) under fungal sp. DL06. Its description in RNAcentral is "eukaryotic LSU rRNA". The stretch from base 196 to 348 matches the Rfam family "5.8S ribosomal RNA". Lineage: Eukaryota; Fungi. The record is from RNAcentral.